Molecule: long non-coding RNA, 472 nt
Organism: Malaclemys terrapin pileata
Lineage: Eukaryota; Metazoa; Chordata; Testudines; Emydidae
Exons: 4
Source: RefSeq, a predicted model, not a curated record
CAAGAAUGGAGGUAGCUGGGUCCUGCUGCCCACUCCCCUCAAUGAGGCACUUUCUGCCCUGGACAGUUGCUACAGGUCUGCUGUGCCACUACGAACAGAAAUGAUGGUGGUCCAUAAGGCAAUCUCUAAUAGGAUGUGAUCCACACUCUGAAAAAGAUUGAAAACUCCCCUCCUAUGAAUUGAUUGAGAGGAAGGAUAGUCGGUUGCUAAAGCUCUGGCCUGAGAUUCAGGAGAUCUUCCUGGCUGUGCCACACAUUUCCUCUAUGACUCUGGGGCUGGAAAUCUCAUGGAAAUCUCUCUCGCUCUCAGAUGCCUGGUACUUCCCUCUUUUGGUCAAGUCAGGAGUACCACAAGAACAGACUGUUUCAUAAUAUUUCAACACUUCUGGUUCCAGUCCUGGAAUAACUGGAGCCCCUGUGGCUGUGGAGAAAGCUUCACAAUGUGACCAAGUGCACCCUAAAAGUUCAAAAAG